This 23-nucleotide non-coding RNA is filed under the name Cricetulus griseus (Chinese hamster). Lineage: Eukaryota; Metazoa; Chordata; Mammalia; Rodentia; Cricetidae. The record is from RNAcentral.
AACAUGGCAACAGGGCUGAGAUA